GAUGAACGCUAGCGGCAGGCCUAACACAUGCAAGUCGAGGGAGAGGUUACCUUCGGGUAACCAAAACCGGCGCACGGGUGCGUAACGCGUAUACAAUCUGCCUUUCACAUAGGGAUAGCCCGAAGAAAUUUGGAUUAAUACCUAAUGGUAUAUAAGAGCGGCAUCGUUUUUAUAUUAAAGCUACGGUGGUGAAAGAUGAGUAUGCGUUCUAUUAGCUAGUUGGAGAGGUAACGGCUCCCCAAGGCGACGAUAGAUAGGGGUUCUGAGAGGGAUGUCCCCCACACUGGUACUGAGAUACGGACCAGACUCCUACGGGAGGCAGCAGUGAGGAAUAUUGGACAAUGGUCGGAAGACUGAUCCAGCCAUGCCGUGUGCAGGAUGAAGGUCCUAUGGAUUGUAAACUGCUUUUGUAAGGGAAGAAUAAGGAGUACGUGUACUUUGAUGACGGUACCUUACGAAUAAGCAUCGGCUAACUCCGUG
Molecule: ribosomal RNA, 480 nt
Filed under: uncultured bacterium
Lineage: Bacteria
Description: partial 16S ribosomal RNA
Rfam family: Bacterial small subunit ribosomal RNA
Source: RNAcentral